RNAcentral lists this ribosomal RNA (497 nucleotides) under uncultured bacterium. RNAcentral's name for it is "partial 16S ribosomal RNA". It matches the Rfam family "Bacterial small subunit ribosomal RNA", at positions 28 to 507 of the family's 1533-position model. The record is from RNAcentral.
GAUGAACGCUGGCGGCGUGCCUAAUACAUGCAAGUCGAGCGAACAGAUCCAGAGUUUGCUCCUCUCUCGAUUGCGGCGGACGGGAGAGUAACACGUGGAAACUCUCCCUAACUGAGUGGGAAAACUUGGGGAAUGCGGAGCAAACACCGGAGAAUAUCUUGAACCGCAUGGUUCAAGAAUGAAAUACGGUUUUGGUGUAACUUAUAGACUGUUCCGCGCCGGAUUAGGUAGUUGGUAGGGUAACGGCUUACCAAGGCCACGAUGGGUAGACGAUGUGAGAGAGUGGUCGCCGACACGGGAGCUGGGACGGCGACCUUGCUCCUACGGGACGCAGCAGUAGGGAAUGUGCGGCAGUGGUGGGAAGCCUGACGGAGUGAGGCCGCGCGUGAGAUGAAGGUCUUGGGAUCGUAAUGCUCUGUUACUAGUGGAAAACAAAUGUGGAAGUAACUGUGCACGUAUUGACGGUACCUGAUGAGAAAGCAACGGCUAACUACGUG